This is a long non-coding RNA of Equus asinus (donkey), 1905 nucleotides long. Lineage: Eukaryota; Metazoa; Chordata; Mammalia; Perissodactyla; Equidae. The record is from Ensembl.
CUCAGGCCCGAGUGGGAAAAUAGCUGUGAAAUUGGAGGAGCAGUGUCCCAUGUAGGGAAUGCCUCUAAUGGCUUUUUUCUUCCUCUCCUCACCUCCCCUGUGUCUGCCUCUCUUCUGCACCGACCCCGUGGUCCGCCCUUCUGUCUAAGGUCUCUGUGUGUAUGUGUGUGUCACUGCUGACGUUGUGGAUACCCAGGAGGAAACAGCUUCCACAGAGGAAGGGAUGGGCAAGAGCUUCCCAAGAACUGACGGUUUCUGUUGUCCACCGCAAAGCCUUUGGGAAGGGUUCGAGUCUUGCCCUAGAAGUUCAGAAUACUUCCUUCCGCUUGGACUCUUGCCUGCUGUGUGCCAUGGGCCAGUGUCUACCUCGCUACAGGCCUCAGUUUCCCAAUUCUCCAGUGAGGGAUUGAGUUCAGAAGUGCAUAAGCAUGAGCUCAGCAAAGGUGGCCCCUGCUCCCUCCACCCUGGGCGUGACCUGGACAGGGGGAGACUCAAGUGUUCCCCUGUCCUGGGCUCCUCCUCAGGCAAGAACUUGCCAAAUGCCCGUCAAGGCUGCAGACUUCUCAGUCUCAGCCCCCUGCCCUCUCCAUGUGUGUCUGCAGUUACAGCAACACCGCCUUUUCAGAGCCCCCUGAGGAAGCCCGGGAGCAGCCAGGGCCCCAUCCUUGAGGAUGCGGAGCUGGGUUCACUCCUGGCUGCACCUUGAACUAGACUGUGAUUCUGGGCAGAGCAUUGAGCCUCUGAGGUCUUCUCCUUCUCCCUCAAUGGCCUCCUGUGAUCCCCUCCCCUCAGUCUACACAUCCUGCUGGAAUCCACUCCCCUUGACUGUGGUCUGAAGUUUGUCAUUGCCUGUUACUCUGUGGAAGAGGGCACAGUGAUGCGCAGGCAGUUCUGAGACUGGGUCCCAAACAGUCCGGGGCUCCCCUCCUUCUGGCUCUGACCUGUGUUCUCUCUCUCCCUCAUAUCCCUCACUCUGGGGAACAAGACUGUGUGUUCUAGGUUGCACCCUAGAGAGGCCGACGUGGCCUGGCCUUGAAGGAGACUCACCGACAGAGGGGCCUGCAGGCCUUCAGUCGCAUGGCGCCCUCCAGGACCCCAGAGUGCGCUCAGAGCAGGAGGGAUGCAGAUCCUGCCUCAGUUCCGAGCACAGCCCGACCCCCUGAGAGCCUCUGGCAGAAGCUCCCAGCUGAGCGCUGCUGGAUUCCUGGUCCAGUGCAACCAUGACAUAAUCAAGAAUGUUGCAGAGGAAUAUUCUGGGACUUCUAAGACUGGUUCAUAAGAACACUUGCAGCUUCCAUCUGGGCCUCCUGGAACACUUGCCCUUGAAACUGAGCCAUGAUGCUGUGAGGAAGCCCAACAAGCCCCAGGGAGUGGGCUAGCCAACAGCCCCAGAUGAACUCCCAGCUGACAGCUCCCACCAGCUCGACAGUCACACAGGGAAAUUGAGGUACAGGAAGCUGAAGUAACUUGCCUGGAUCACUUAUCUUGGAAGAGGCUGAAUCAAUUCAAAUCUAGACAUUCUGGGACCUGGACCUGACUUCUUAACUAGUUGUAGGUGCCAGGCAGUCUCUGAGGAGUUGUUGAUAGAUGAAGAAAGAGUCCUGUUCACAACCAAGAAAGCAAGGAACAGACUGACCACAGGUGGGAGACACACCUACAAGAUAUUCAUCAUCACUGACAGAAGAAAAGAACAAUGAAAGACCCUGGAAUCCGUCAUGCCUGAAGGCUGACAUUUCUAAACCCUCUCCUUACUGUCCACUUUCCCUAUAUAAUUGCUUCAAGAUUCUGUAAUCCUUGAAGAUGGUUUUUUUUGAGACAUUAGUCUACCAUCUUCCUGAUUAUGCUGGCUCAUAAAAUUAAAACUUCCUUUCUCCAUUCCUAACUUGUUGUAAUUAAUUGACUCAG